This 450-nucleotide ribosomal RNA is filed under the name uncultured bacterium. RNAcentral describes it as "partial 16S ribosomal RNA". It matches the Rfam family "Bacterial small subunit ribosomal RNA", at positions 354 to 796 of the family's 1533-position model. The record is from RNAcentral.
GUGGGGAAUUUUGGACAAUGGGCGCAAGCCUGAUCCAGCAAUGCCGCGUGCAGGAAGAAGGCCUUCGGGUUGUAAACUGCUUUUGUACGGAACGAAACGGUCCUGGUUAAUACCUGGGGCUAAUGACGGUACCGUAAGAAUAAGCACCGGCUAACUACGUGCCAGCAGCCGCGGUAAUACGUAGGGUGCAAGCGUUAAUCGGAAUUACUGUGCGUAAAGCGUGCGCAGGCGGUUUUGUAAGACAGGCGUGAAAUCCCCGGGCUCAACCUGGGAAUUGCGCGUGAGACUGCAAGGCUGGAGUGCGGCAGAGGGGGAUGGAAUUCCGCGUGUAGCGGUGAAAUGCGUAGAUAUGCGGAGGAACACCGAUGGCGAAGGCAAUCCCCUGGGCCUGCACUGACGCUCAUGCACGAAAGCGUGGGGAGCAAACAGGAUUAGAAACCCUGGUAGUCC